This is an RNA transcript of Polypterus senegalus (gray bichir), 2210 nucleotides long. It is a transcript of the gene named E3 SUMO-protein ligase ZBED1-like, with no coding region annotated. The record is from RefSeq and is a predicted model, not a curated record. The transcript is spliced from 2 exons. Lineage: Eukaryota; Metazoa; Chordata; Cladistia; Polypteriformes; Polypteridae.
UCGGUUUUGCAUGUUCGGUUCGGUCCACUUGUGUACCGUUUCGGUUAUAUUUUAUGCAUUUUUUCUCAUUAAAUCUAUUACUAGUGCGAUCUAAGCACCCCAAGCGGAACUAAAGUCUUGGGUGAGUUUCCGCACGGACGCCUCUGAGUGUCGGACACUGGAUGAGGGAGAGGCGCGCCAGUAGCUCGCAGACGUGACAAAUGAGGUUAUGGCAAAUGCAAGCGAGAAGCCUGAGCUGGAACACCCUCCCAGCUCAUAACGUUCUCCUGUCUGGGAACACUUUGGCUUCCCCGUUAGUUACCAAUGGACAACGGCAAGUGGAUAAAUCCAAAGUUGUUUGUCGACAUUGUUCCAUCACGGAGAUCGGGUAUGCUGCAGGAAACGCGUCUAAUAUGUUAACACACUUAAAACGGCACCAUCCAUCUGUGAAUGUUUCCUCUACAAGAAAGAAAACCAGCUUGGUGCAAACAGUAACAACGAUAACUUCAGCUUUUAAACAACAUCUAGCGAACAACUCUGACCGGGCCAAAGCAAUAACACAUGGUAUUGGAGUCUUCAUAGCUACAGGAUUACGUCCAUAUUCAGUUGUUGAGAACGCUGGCUUUAAGUAUAUGAUUAAAGUUCUUGAGCCUCGCUACGAAAUACCAUCACGUCCUCACUUUAGUCAGAAAGUUGUACCAGCACUUUAUGAAAAAACUAGAAGUGAUGUCGUCCGCGAGCUAUCGCGGGUGCCCUCUCUUUCACUUACGACAGAUAGUUGGACUUCACGCGCAACAGAGAGCUAUUUAACAGUAACUGUCCACUACAUUUCGCCACAAUGGGAGAUGAGGAAUCACGUUCUGCAAACAAGACCUGUUUAUGAACAGCACACUAGCACAAAUCUUGCAGAGCACCUGAAGGAGGCUGUGAAUGAAUGGAAGCUGGAGAGACCUGGGACCACAAUUCCUGUAACCACAGACAAUGCUAAAAACAUUGUCAGUGCUGUAAAAGAAGCAGGACUGGGCCCUCAGAUUGGUUGUUUUGCACACACCAUUAAUCUAGCCUCUCAAAAAGUAACAAGCAUCAACCAGAUAUCUAGAUUAUUGGGAAAAGUAAGAAAGAUUGACAUUUUUUCACAAAAGCACCACAGCAGCGCACAUCCUGGAAAGCAAACAAGAAAUGCUGAAUAUUCCAAAGCAUUCUCUCAUUCAAGAUGUCCCCACACGAUGGAAUUCAAGUUAUGACAUGCUUCAGAGAUACCUUGAACAGCAGGCAGCUAUAUAUUCAGCACUAACUGAGAAACCUCUCAAGAACAAAGAUAUAUACACACACUCAAUGACGAAGAAGUGGCAAUGGCAGAGGAAGUGAUUGAAGCACUUAAACCUCUAAAAACAAUCACAACCCUGAUGAGCACUGAAUCCAGAGCGUCUGUGUCCAUGAUAAUCCCCUUGAAAAACUACUGUUCUCCACUCUAUGGCACCAAAACAAGAAGACAGUUCUGCUGUGAGAGAGGUCAAGCUAGCAGUCACAAGAAACCUGCAAGAAAGUUACUCUGUGUGCUAUGACUUUUUGCACAAAUGCACAACCCUGGACCCCCGAUUCAAAGCCUUGCCUCACAUAGAAGAUGAUGAGAGACAGAAGAUAUUCAGCGACAUCAUAACAGAAAUGAUGACAACCACAGAAGAAGAGACUGAGGAUGCCACAGAGAUAGGAGCUGGAUCCUCAUCAUCUCCAGAGGCAUCAUCCACCAGAUCACCUCCAGCUAAGAAGUCUGUAAUGACUGAACUUUUUGAUGAACUUUUCCAGAGACAGGGGGGAAGUAGUAAACCAACCCUUUUGGAGCAGGUCCAAGAAGAGGUCAGUAAGUACAGAGCUUCAGGGUGCCUUUCCCUUGAAGCUGAUCCUCUUCUUUGGUGGAAAGGCAAUGAGGCUACAUACCCACACAUAGCAAAACUCGCAAAGCGUUACCUCUGUAUUCCAGCUACCUCUUUUGCUAGUGAACGGGUCUUCUCCACUGCUGGAGAUAUUGUCACUGCAACCAGAUCUGUGCUUUCUGCAGAAAAUGUGGAUAAAUUAAUCUUUCUAGCCAAAACCUUUAAGCUUGAAUAGUUUUAUUUGUCAUAUUCAGGCUGUUGCGGCUACAUGUUCAAAGUUUACAUUUGUUACUUGUUUAUUUAAAUUGUUACAAUAGUUUUAAAAACUCAGAGUCUAAUUUAUUUGAAAUAUCACCC